AGAGUUUGAUCCUGGCUCAGAUUGAACGCUGAUGCCUUACACAUGCAAGUCGAACGGCAGCGGACCUUCGGGUGCCGACGAGUGGCGAACGGGUGAGUAAAGUAUCGGAACGUACCUUUCAGUGGGGGGUAACGUAGCGAAAGUUACGCUAAUACCGCAUAUUCUGUGAGCAGGAAAGCAGGGGAUCGCAAGACCUUGCGCUGAUUGAGCGGCCGAUAUCAGAUUAGCUAGUUGGUGAGGUAAAGGCUCACCAAGGCGACGAUCUGUAGCGGGUCUGAGAGGAUGAUCCGCCACACUGGAACUGAGACACGGUCCAGACUCCUACGGGAGGCAGCAGUGGGGAAUUUUGGACAAUGGGGGCAACCCUGAUCCAGCCAUGCCGCGUGAGUGAAGAAGGCCUUCGGGUUGUAAAGCUCUUUCGGCCGGGAAGAAAUCGCGCCAGUUAAUACCUGGUGUGGAUGACGGUACCGGAAUAAGAAGCACCGGCUAACUACGUGCCAGCAGCCGCGGUAAUACGUAGGGUGCGAGCGUUAAUCGGAAUUACUGGGCGUAAAGCGUGCGCAGGCGGUUUUGUAAGACAGGCGUGAAAUCCCCGGGCUCAACCUGGGAACUGCGCUUGUGACUGCAUCACUCGAGUACGGCAGAGGGGGGUGGAAUUCCACGUGUAGCAGUGAAAUGCGUAGAGAUGUGGGGGAACACCGAUGGCGAAGGCAGCCCCCUGGGCCGAUACUGACGCUCAUGCACGAAAGCGUGGGUAGCAAACAGGAUUAGAUACCCUGGUAGUCCACGCCCUAAACGAUGUCAACUAGGUGUUGGGUGGGUAAAACCAUUUAGUACCGUAGCUAACGCGUGAAGUUGACCGCCUGGGGAGUACGGCCGCAAGGUUAAAACUCAAAGGAAUUGACGGGGACCCGCACAAGCGGUGGAUGAUGUGAUUAAUUCGAUGCAACGCGAAAA
Molecule: ribosomal RNA, 957 nt
Filed under: uncultured beta proteobacterium
Lineage: Bacteria; Pseudomonadati; Pseudomonadota; Betaproteobacteria
Description: bacterial SSU rRNA
Rfam family: Bacterial small subunit ribosomal RNA
Source: RNAcentral